This 385-nucleotide long non-coding RNA is filed under the name Homo sapiens (human). RNAcentral describes it as "HSALNT0070880". Lineage: Eukaryota; Metazoa; Chordata; Mammalia; Primates; Hominidae. The record is from RNAcentral.
GUUGUCCAUAUGACAGGAUAACUCUGAAGGACAGAGCUUGUCUGGAUUCACAAUUGACAUAGCAGAUAUAAAGCUUAGGACAGAGUCUAGAGCUGUGAAGAUGAUGCCUGGAGGAUACAAACCUUCCCACCUGGUCAGAAGCCUAGACAACUGUCAAAUGAGAGACAACGUGAACCAGUCCCCCACAUUACCCCUGGAAACAGUCAGCUGACUACCAGGCCUGUGAGAUGUACCCUGAAAAGUCAGAUGAUCACAAUGGGCUUAAGAUACUUUUCUUGGAAAAAUGCCACCCAGCAACACACUGAGCAAUCAUUUCCAUCUUCUUGAUAAAGAUGCAAAGGAAAUAUGGAUGCAUUUAGCCUGGUCCACAAGACUACCACAGGAG